UGCGUAGGCGGCUUUUUAAGUCGGAUGUGAAAUCCCUGAGCUUAACUUAGGAAUUGCAUUCGAUACUGGGAAGCUAGAGUAUGGGAGAGGAUGGUAGAAUUCCAGGUGUAGCGGUGAAAUGUGUAGAGAUCUGGAGGAAUACCGAUGGCGAAGGCAGCCAUCUGGCCUAAUACUGACGCUGAGGUACGAAAGCAUGGGGAGCAAACA
This 207-nucleotide ribosomal RNA is filed under the name uncultured bacterium. RNAcentral describes it as "partial 16S ribosomal RNA". It matches the Rfam family "Bacterial small subunit ribosomal RNA", at positions 568 to 774 of the family's 1533-position model. The record is from RNAcentral.